CGAAUGCUGACAUAAGUAACGAUAAAGCGGGUGAAAAGCCCGCUCGCCGGAAGACCAAGGGUUCCUGUCCAACGUUAAUCGGGGCAGGGUGAGUCGACCCCUAAGGCGAGGCCGAAAGGCGUAGUCGAUGGGAAACAGGUUAAUAUUCCUGUACUUGGUGUUACUGCGAAGGGGGGACGGAGAAGGCUAUGUUGGCCGGGCGACGGUUGUCCCGGUUUAAGCGUGUAGGCUGGUUUUCCAGGCAAAUCCGGAAAAUCAAGGCUGAGGCGUGAUGACGAGGCACUACGGUGCUGAAGCAACAAAUGCCCUGCUUCCAGGAAAAGCCUCUAAGCAUCAGGUAACAUCAAAUCGUACCCCAAACCGACACAGGUGGUCAGGUAGAGAAUACCAAGGCGCUUGAGAGAACUCGGGUGAAGGAACUAGGCAAAAUGGUGCCGUAACUUCGGGAGAAGGCACGCUGAUAUGUAGGUGAAGUCCCUCGCGGAUGGAGCUGAAAUCAGUCGAAGAUACCAGCUGGCUGCAACUGUUUAUUAAAAACACAGCACUGUGCAAACACGAAAGUGGACGUAUACGGUGUGACGCCUGCCCGGUGCCGGAAGGUUAAUUGAUGGGGUUAGCGCAAGCGAAGCUCUUGAUCGAAGCCCC
This 645-nucleotide ribosomal RNA is filed under the name Escherichia coli. Its description in RNAcentral is "partial 23S ribosomal RNA". It matches the Rfam family "Bacterial large subunit ribosomal RNA", at positions 1291 to 1921 of the family's 2925-position model. Lineage: Bacteria; Pseudomonadati; Pseudomonadota; Gammaproteobacteria; Enterobacterales; Enterobacteriaceae. The record is from RNAcentral.